CACAUGCAGUCGAGCGGUAACACAGAGAGCUUGCUCUCGGGUGACGAGCGGCGGACGGGUGAGUAAUGUCUGGGAAACUGCCUGAUGGAGGGGGAUAACUACUGGAAACGGUAGCUAAUACCGCAUAACGUCGCAAGACCAAAGUGGGGGACCUUCGGGCCUCAUGCCAUCAGAUGUGCCCAGAUGGGAUUAGCUAGUAGGUGGGGUAAUGGCUCACCUAGGCGACGAUCCCUAGCUGGUCUGAGAGGAUGACCAGCCACACUGGAACUGAGACACGGUCCAGACUCCUACGGGAGGCAGCAGUGGGGAAUAUUGCACAAUGGGCGCAAGCCUGAUGCAGCCAUGCCGCGUGUAUGAAGAAGGCCUUCGGGUUGUAAAGUACUUUCAGCGAGGAGGAAGGCGUUAAGGUUAAUAACCUUGGUGAUUGACGUUACUCGCAGAAGAAGCACCGGCUAACUCCGUGCCAGCAGCCGCGGUAAUACGGAGGGUGCAAGCGUUAAUCGGAAUUACUGGGCGUAAAGCGCACGCAGGCGGUCUGUCAAGUCGGAUGUGAAAUCCCCGGGCUCAACCUGGGAACUGCAUUCGAAACUGGCAGGCUAGAGUCUUGUAGAGGGGGGUAGAAUUCCAGGUGUAGCGGUGAAAUGCGUAGAGAUCUGGAGGAAUACCGGUGGCGAAGGCGGCCCCCUGGACAAAGACUGACGCUCAGGUGCGAAAGCGUGGGGAGCAAACAGGAUUAGAUACCCUGGUAGUCCACGCCGUAAACGAUGUCGACUUGGAGGUUGUGCCCUUGAGGCGUGGCUUCCGGAGCUAACGCGUUAAGUCGACCGCCUGGGGAGUACGGCCGCAAGGUUAAGACUCAUAUGAAUUGACGGGGGCCCGCACAAGCGGUGGAGCAUGUGGUUUAAUUCGAUGCAACGCGAAGAACCUUACCUACUCUUGACAUCCAGAGAACUUAGCAGAGAUGCUUUGGUGCCUUCGGGAACUCUGAGACAGGUGCUGCAUGGCUGUCGUCAGCUCGUGUUGUGAAAUGUUGGGUUAAGUCCGCAACGAGGGCAACCUUAUCUUUGUUGCCGCGGUC
This 1078-nucleotide ribosomal RNA is filed under the name Klebsiella aerogenes. RNAcentral describes it as "bacterial SSU rRNA". It matches the Rfam family "Bacterial small subunit ribosomal RNA", at positions 52 to 1125 of the family's 1533-position model. Lineage: Bacteria; Pseudomonadati; Pseudomonadota; Gammaproteobacteria; Enterobacterales; Enterobacteriaceae. The record is from RNAcentral.